GCUGGCGGCACGCCUAACACAUGCAAGUCGAACGAAGUAGCAAUACUUAGUGGCAGACGGGUGAGUAACAUGUGGGUAUCUACCCUUUGGCCUGGAAUAACACGAGGAAACUUGUGCUAAUACUGGAUAAGUCUUUACGGAGAAAGCUUUAUGCACCAUUGGAUGAGCCCGCACUUGAUUAGUUUGUUGGUGGGGUAAUGGCCUACCAAGACUGUGAUCAAUAGCUGAUUUGAGAGGAUGAUCAGCCACAUUGGGACUGAGACACGGCCCAAACUCCUACGGGAGGCAGCAGUGGGGAAUCUUGCACAAUGGAGGAAACUCUGAUGCAGCGAUGCCGCGUGAGUGAAGAAGGCCCUUGGGUUGUAAAGCUCUUUCGUCGGGGAAGAAAAUGACUGUACCCGAAUAAGAAGGUCCGGCUAACUUCGUGCCAGCAGCCGCGGUAAUACGAAGGGACCUAGCGUAGUUCGGAAUUACUGGGCUUAAAGAGUUCGUAGGUGGUUGAAAAAGUUGGUGGUGAAAUCCCAGAGCUUAACUCUGGAACUGCCAUCAAAACUUUUCAGCUAGAGUUUGAUAGAGGAAAGCAGAAUUUCUAGUGUAGAGGUGAAAUUCGUAGAUAUUAGAAAGAAUACCAAUUGCGAAGGCAGCUUUCUGGAUCAUUACUGACACUGAGGAACGAAAGCAUGGGUAGCGAAGAGGAUUAGAUACCCUCGUAGUCCAUGCCGUAAACGAUGUGUGUUAGACGUUGGAAAUUUAUUUUCAGUGUCGCAGCGAAAGCGAUAAACACACCGCCUGGGGAGUACGACCGC
RNAcentral lists this ribosomal RNA (806 nucleotides) under uncultured Pelagibacteraceae bacterium. Its description in RNAcentral is "bacterial SSU rRNA". It matches the Rfam family "Bacterial small subunit ribosomal RNA", at positions 35 to 889 of the family's 1533-position model. The record is from RNAcentral. Lineage: Bacteria; Pseudomonadati; Pseudomonadota; Alphaproteobacteria; Candidatus Pelagibacterales; Candidatus Pelagibacteraceae.